This is a long non-coding RNA of Peromyscus eremicus (cactus mouse), 1610 nucleotides long. RefSeq lists it as uncharacterized. The record is from RefSeq and is a predicted model, not a curated record. Lineage: Eukaryota; Metazoa; Chordata; Mammalia; Rodentia; Cricetidae. The transcript is spliced from 4 exons.
UACCUCACUGUAUUUCUGGCAGAAGCGAAAGUUUCUUUUGACACACAUUGACAGGCAUCAGAAGGGCACACAGAAAACUAGAAAUGACAGCUGCUGGCUUGGAAAUCAUUAUAUAGCCAAGGAUGGACUUGAACAUGAGCAGUCCUGCCUCAGCCUUCUGAAUGAUGACGGGAUUACAGGCACGAGCUACCAUGGCUUCCUCCUCUGGUCUUCUUACUACCACAAUUCCUAUCACCUCUUAAGAGUAUCGCAAGUAAAGGAGAUGAUCUGGGUUAAGCACCCGUGUGUCCUAAGAGGAGUGAAUGAUGAAAGCAAAUAUAGUGGAAACAAAAGCCACAGGCACGAGGCUUUAUUAUGAAGACUAGCGAGAUUUGCAGAAGCAUCCACAGGUUAGUACUAGAUGGAGACACUCUUCAACCUGCUCAGGAGGACUGGCAGAGGGCACCCAAGGUUGAGGAAAGCCUUGAGGAGUAAGGCUGAACCUGGCACAAUGGCACAGUGAGUGAAGCCUGGGCCAUCAAGCACACAGAGGUCCUCAGUACAGUCUAUGGAGCCCUAAAGACACCAGCGGUGCUACUGUCGUCCCCCGGAAGAGACAUUCUUCUGGAGACACCUGCCAUUCCUUGGCUUCUACCUGCUUUUCCUUUUGUUCUACACAGCGGUAGUCUUCCUUAGCUGAGGUAAACUGAGUCACAGUCCUGCUGCAGUUCUCUGAUUACCCUCAACAUACCCACUCAGAGGGAUGACCCUGGCCAGAGCAACUUAUGCCUGACCAUGAGUUCCCCUGAACCAGAAGAUCACCCCACUAAACCAAGACUGAGUCACAGCUUGUAGAACUCUCUGUAGAGAUUCCACGGAGGAAUUGGCAACGUGAACAUAAAACAUAAGAUUCAAAAAAUUCACGACAAUGUAAGAAAUGCCACCCAAAUGACAUAAUUUAGACGUACAAUAUGUAUGGGGCACACCACCAAACAAGGCAGUCAAAGAGGGCUAUGAUGGGACAAAGUAGGACUAAUGGGACAAAAUUCAAGUCAUUUUAGGGAAGUGGCUGAAAACCAAUACCCCAUUCCUAACGCCUCCCUUAGUAUGAAGCAUUGACAGUGUGCCCAACGCCUGCCUGGCUGCUGAACUGACUUGGAUACCCAGAGGCAGAGAGUGCCUCCACAUGCAAAUGUUGCCAGCCCAGGGAAUGGAGUCCACUCUAGCCUGCCUCUUAGAGAUCUGGUGCCCUGCAUACCUUCAACGGUGAGAGGCCACUUCCCUGGGGACUACUGAGGGAGAUUUUCCAUGCACUUGAGGAAAGUGUUCCAAUAUUCUAUGUCAAGUUCCAUCAGGGCUGGCUAGGCACCAUCCGGAAUGCAGGGUAUGUGUAUGAAGCCUCCUGCCUUCACUGACCAGACAGUUCCCUCAUCAUUCGCUCACAGCCACAGGGCAAGUGCAAGCGGUUCUUAUGACUCAGAAGCUUGACCUAUAAGCAUCCUUUCGGACCUAAGAUUCCAUUUUGCAUGGUUCAAGGACAGCUGAUGAGAUCCAUCACUGCUCCCUCCUCUGCCAUGGGGCAUCAUCAGAGCCACUGCCCAAUUCCCUAAGAUAUGCUGUGCAUGACCUCA